CACGCCGUAAACGAUGAGUAUUAGGUGUUGGUGAGAAUCAGUGCCGGAGUUAACACAAUAAAUACUCCGCCUGGGGAGUACGGUCGCAAGACUGAAACUCAAAGGAAUUGACGGGACCCCGCACAAGUAGCGGAGCAUGUGGUUUAAUUCGAAGCAACGCGAAGAACCUUACCAGGUCUUGACAUCCUCUGACAGCGUUAGAGAUAGCGCAUUCCUUUCGGGGACAGAGAGACAGGUGG
Molecule: ribosomal RNA, 239 nt
Filed under: uncultured Bacillota bacterium
Lineage: Bacteria; Bacillati; Bacillota
Description: uncultured Firmicutes bacterium partial 16S ribosomal RNA
Rfam family: Bacterial small subunit ribosomal RNA
Source: RNAcentral